UGAGGAAUAUUGGUCAAUGGGCGGAAGCCUGAACCAGCCAAGUCGCGUGAGGGAAGACGGCCCUACGGGUUGUAAACCUCCUUUGCCGGGGAGCAAUGCCCAGCUCGCGAGCUGGGAAGGAGAGUACCCGGAGAAAAAGCAUCGGCUAACUCCGUGCC
This 158-nucleotide ribosomal RNA is filed under the name uncultured bacterium. Its description in RNAcentral is "partial 16S ribosomal RNA". It matches the Rfam family "Bacterial small subunit ribosomal RNA", at positions 355 to 509 of the family's 1533-position model. The record is from RNAcentral.